UUUUUUCCUAUUUAAUUCAUCUUUUUUACUUUAUGUAUUGGUUAUAAGAAAUGAUUCUUGCCUGACAACCAUUAUUUCAUGUCAGCUUUCAGAAAAAUUAAGGCAUCCAAAAUCUAGUCAGUUCCCCUGUCUCCCCUUUUGGUCCUAUGGGUCUUUACCUACAUUAGUAACUGUUCCUCUGGCGAUUAAUUUAUUAAUGUGCCCGAGAGGCUAGUUCCAGUCCAUCAGUUUAGACACUGACUUCCAAGCUGGUCGUCCCGGGCUUCCAUUCACCGAACAGCCGUAUUUCCAUUUGUUCUAUUGAUUAUCUUUGCUUCUGGGUAAACCCCUCCCUCCAAGUUGUUGUUGUUAUUGUUGUUGUUUGUUUCAUUCCAAAGGCAGGAAGUCCUCUCUCCCCUCUGCGAAGUAAGAUUAUCAGUGCCCCCUAUUUUCCCCUGCGGCUCUCCUCUGUCCGGCGAAAGGGGAUGUUUUGGGAUAAAUUUUCUGUGUCUGAGGUGAGGGGAGGAAGCAGACGGGAUAGUGAUGGUGAUGCAUGUGUUAUAAGCAAAGGCAUCUGUGUUCACAGCGUUUCAAUCAAUCCCAGACCGUCGGGACUGCUUCCCACCGAGGUUGUGAUUUUAGAUCCAGUCCCUUCUUCCUCCCAGUAGGAAGGAGUAGUGUCGCUGAAGUUUUGCACAAAGAAAAUGAAAAUCAUGUUCAGGGGCGAAGCCUGCGCACGACAGUCAGUUUCCACGCCCACCCCCACCCUCCGCCACGCGCGGGCCCAGGUCCCGGGAGGCGGCGGAGAGUCCCUCCCGCGCGGUAGUCUCCGGGCGCAGAAGGCAUUGGAAGCCCAGGGCGCCGCGCUCCGCUUGCGCGGAACCGCGCUCCGGCUGCUCCUAAUUCAGAGGGCAUUUCAACCAGACCCCGAAGUGACUCAACCUAGAAGGUUACAUCCAGGCAUUUCCGGUAGUAUGACAUCGGAGAAUUCACAGCCUUCUAAAUCUUUUGAGUCCCUCAACCUUCCAUAAGCCAGUAAUUAUCAAAGCAAGCUGCACAGUACAUUCAGUCUUUGAGAAAAAAGAUCUCCCUCUAAGAGAUUCUCACCAAAUGGUUUGGCCUAAAAAUUCCCACUGAAUAAAGUAUAACUCUCAACUUUGAGGUUGUGACUA
Molecule: long non-coding RNA, 1151 nt
Filed under: Bos indicus x Bos taurus (hybrid cattle)
Lineage: Eukaryota; Metazoa; Chordata; Mammalia; Artiodactyla; Bovidae
Description: lncRNA (ENSBIXG00005023538.1)
Source: RNAcentral